RNAcentral lists this ribosomal RNA (253 nucleotides) under uncultured bacterium. RNAcentral's name for it is "partial 16S ribosomal RNA". It matches the Rfam family "Bacterial small subunit ribosomal RNA", at positions 524 to 776 of the family's 1533-position model. The record is from RNAcentral.
UACGGGGGGGGCAAGCGUUGUUCGGAAUUACUGGGCGUAAAGGGCUCGUAGGUGGCCAACUAAGUCAGACGUGAAAUCCCUCGGCUUAACCGGGGAACUGCGUCUGAUACUGGAUGGCUUGAGAUUGGGAGAGGGAUGCGGAAUUCCAGGUGUAGCGGUGAAAUGCGUAGAUAUCUGAAGGAACACCGGUGGCGAAGGCGGCAUCCUGGACCAACACUGACGCUGAGGAGCGAAAGCCAGGGGAGCAAACGGG